This is a long non-coding RNA of Carassius carassius (crucian carp), 485 nucleotides long. RefSeq lists it as uncharacterized. NCBI's taxonomy places the organism in Eukaryota, Metazoa, Chordata, Actinopteri, Cypriniformes, Cyprinidae. The transcript has 4 exons. The record is from RefSeq and is a predicted model, not a curated record.
ACAAGACCGACGCACUGGAGGCCAAACACAUAAACGAUUAUAAAGGUCGUGGAGUGUUUGCCUUAAUUCCUUUUAUUAAAGGAGAUUUUGUUGUCGAAUAUAGGGGUGAAAUGAUCACCUUAAUUGAAGCCGAACAAAGAAGAGAGGCCAAUCAAGAAUUUUUUUUUAUGUUUGACUUCAUCUGGCAGAACAAGAAGUGGAGCAUUGAUGCAACUCAUGAGGAUGGCACCCUUGGCCGCCUUAUAAAUGAUGAUCACAUAAACCCAAAUUGUACAAUGAAAAGGAUUAUCGUUGAGGGAAAACCCUGUUUGUGCCUAUUCGCUGCAAGAGAUAUCAUUCCUGGAGAGGAACUCACAUAUGACUAUGGAGGAAGUCACUGGCCUUGGAGAAAGCCUCCAUGCAAUGAUGAUGACAACAUGACAGCCAUAGAGAACUGCUCUGAGGAUUCUGUAACUACUGCAGGCACUUCACGAUUCACAGCUGAG